RNAcentral lists this ribosomal RNA (481 nucleotides) under uncultured bacterium. Its description in RNAcentral is "bacterial SSU rRNA". It matches the Rfam family "Bacterial small subunit ribosomal RNA", at positions 28 to 526 of the family's 1533-position model. The record is from RNAcentral.
GACGAACGCUGGCGGCGUGCUUAACACAUGCAAGUCGAACGGGGUCCAUCCCUUCGGGGAGAAGACCUAGUGGCGAACGGGUGAGUAACACGUGAGGAACCUGUCCCAAAGUUCGGGAUAAGCCAGGGAAACUUGGUCUAAUACCGGAUGCCCUCAUCGAGUCUAAUGUCUCGAUGAGGAAAGUUUUUCGCUUUGGGAGGGCCUCGCGGCCUAUCAGCUUGUUGGUGAGGUAACGGCUCACCAAGGCGUCGACGGGUAGCUGGUCUGAGAGGAUGAUCAGCCACACUGGGACUGAGACACGGCCCAGACUCCUACGGGAGGCAGCAGUGGGGAAUCUUGCGCAAUGGGCGAAAGCCUGACGCAGCAACGCCGCGUGAGGGAUGAAGGCUCUCGGGUUGUAAACCUCUUUCAGUAGGAACGAAAUUGACGGUACCUACAGAAGAAGCUCCGGCCAACUACGUGCCAGCCGCCGCAGUAAUAC